ACACAUGCAAGUCGAGGGGUAACAGGUAGCUUGCUAUGCUGACGACCGGCGCACGGGUGAGUAACGCGUAUACAAUCUGCCUUGUACUGAGGGAUAGCCCAGAGAAAUUUGGAUUAAUACCUCAUAGUAUAUAGUCUCCACCUGGAGAUUAUAUUAAAGGUUACGGUACAAGAUGAGUAUGCGUUCUAUUAGCUAGAUGGUAAGGUAACGGCUUACCAUGGCAACGAUAGAUAGGGGCCCUGAGAGGGGGAUCCCCCACACUGGUACUGAGACACGGACCAGACUCCUACGGGAGGCAGCAGUGAGGAAUAUUGGACAAUGGGCGAGAGCCUGAUCCAGCCAUGCCGCGUGCAGGAUGACUGCCCUAUGGGUUGUAAACUGCUUUUAUACAGGAAGAAACACUCCCUCGUGAGGGAGCUUGACGGUACUGUAAGAAUAAGGAUCGGCUAACUCCGUGCCAGCAGCCGCGGUAAUACGGAGGAUCCAAGCGUUAUCCGGAAUCAUUGGGUUUAAAGGGUCCGUAGGUGGAUAAUUAAGUCAGAGGUGAAAUCCUGCAGCUCAACUGUAGAAUUGCCUUUGAUACUGGUUAUCUUGAGUUAUUAUGAAGUAGUUAGAAUAUGUGGUGUAGCGGUGAAAUGCAUAGAUAUCACAUAGAAUACCAAUUGCGAAGGCAGAUUACUAAUAAUUAACUGACACUGAUGGACGAAAGCGUGGGGAGCGAACAGGAUUAGAUACCCUGGUAGUCCACGCCGUAAACGAUGGUUACUAGUUGUUCGAACUUCGGUUUGAGUGACUAAGCGAAAGUGAUAAGUAACCCACCUGGGGAGUACGUUCGCAAGAAUGAAACUCAAAGGAAUUGACGGGGGCCCGCACAAGCGGUGGAGCAUGUGGUUUAAUUCGAUGAUACGCGAGGAACCUUACCAGGGCUUAAAUGUAGAUUGACAGGUUUAGAGAUAGACUUUUCUUCGGACAAUUUACAAGGUGCUGCAUGGUUGUCGUCAGCUCGUGCCGUGAGGUGUCAGGUUAAGUCCUAUAACGAGCGCAACCCCUGUUGUUAGUGGCCAGCGAGUCAUGUCGG
This 1078-nucleotide ribosomal RNA is filed under the name Bizionia sp. BS-22B. Its description in RNAcentral is "bacterial SSU rRNA". It matches the Rfam family "Bacterial small subunit ribosomal RNA", at positions 51 to 1134 of the family's 1533-position model. The record is from RNAcentral. Lineage: Bacteria; Pseudomonadati; Bacteroidota; Flavobacteriia; Flavobacteriales; Flavobacteriaceae.